GAUGAAGAACGUAGCGAAAUGCGAUAAGUAAUGUGAAUUGCAGAAUUCAGUGAAUCAUCGAAUCUUUGAACGCACAUUGCGCCCGCCAGUAUUCUGGCGGGCAUGCCUGUCCGAGCGUCAUUUCAACCCUCGAACCCCUCCGGGGGGUCGGCGUUGGGGAUCGGGAACCCCUAAGACGGGAUCCCGGCCCCGAAAUACAGUGGCGGUCUCGCCGCAGCCUCUCCUGCGCAGUAGUUUGCACAACUCGCACCGGGAGCGCGGCGCGUCCACGUUCGUAAAACACCCAACUUUCUGAAAUGUUGACCUCGGAUCAGGUAGGAAUACCCGCUGAACUUAAGCAUAUCAUAAGCGGAGGA
Molecule: unclassified non-coding RNA, 356 nt
Filed under: soil metagenome
Description: partial contains 5.8S ribosomal RNA, internal transcribed spacer 2, and large subunit ribosomal RNA
Rfam family: 5.8S ribosomal RNA (bases 1-120)
Source: RNAcentral